CUCAGAAAUGACACCAGUCAGGAUUCAGGAAUAUUAUUAGAACUCUAUUUUACAGAGUCUUCCAGGCCCCAUCUGCAAAGGCAGAGUUCAUCGUUUGCGCCACUAAUUUCCGUCAAAUAACAAUGAUCAAUGAAUGCAACUCUUAUCUUUCUCUGCAACUUAAUCUGAUAAAACAAGAGUUAUGGAUAUAAUAAUCAAAGGUUUUUCCAAUUUACUCAGGGAUGGGAAAGGGGGUGUUGAAGAAAUAUUC
Molecule: long non-coding RNA, 250 nt
Filed under: Theobroma cacao (cacao)
Lineage: Eukaryota; Viridiplantae; Streptophyta; Magnoliopsida; Malvales; Malvaceae
Description: long non-coding RNA (TCAC_LNC001383)
Source: RNAcentral